Molecule: ribosomal RNA, 342 nt
Filed under: uncultured bacterium
Lineage: Bacteria
Description: bacterial SSU rRNA
Rfam family: Bacterial small subunit ribosomal RNA
Source: RNAcentral
ACAGAUCGUUCAGAGUUUGAUCCUGGCUCAGGAUGAACGCUAGCUACAGGCUUAACACAUGCAAGUCGAGGGGCAGCACUAGGUAGCAAUACUGAGGUGGCGACCGGCGCACGGGUGCGUAACGCGUAUCCAACCUUCCCGUUACUCAGGGAUAGCCUUCCGAAAGGGAGAUUAAUACCUGAUGGUAUUCAAAUUUCGCAUGUUAUUUGAAUUAAAGAUUUAUCGGUAACGGAUGGGGAUGCGUGACAUUAGGUAGAUGGCGGGGUAACGGCCCACCAUGCCCACGAUGUCUAGGGGUUCUGAGAGGAAGGUCCCCCACACUGGAACUGAGACACGGUCCAG